GGCCAUUUCUCGAGCCAUCUCACGGAGUUCCUCUGGAGGUGGAGGGCGAAGGCUGUGGGUAGGAUACACCACAUACGAGCGGAAUCCCAUGAGCUUGUGGAGGGUCUUGGACUCGGUGGCAACGGCGUAGGUGAGAACCGCCGGGAUGGUGACGUAGACGGCGAACUUGGCGAUCUCGAGGAUCCCCUUCGACGUCCCCAGCGACGACAUCGUCGAAUCUCUCGGCUCAGAUGAGCGGUGCGAUCUGGUAAGCCAAG
Molecule: unclassified non-coding RNA, 257 nt
Filed under: Hevea brasiliensis (rubber tree)
Lineage: Eukaryota; Viridiplantae; Streptophyta; Magnoliopsida; Malpighiales; Euphorbiaceae
Source: RNAcentral